Molecule: ribosomal RNA, 301 nt
Filed under: uncultured bacterium
Lineage: Bacteria
Description: partial 16S ribosomal RNA
Rfam family: Bacterial small subunit ribosomal RNA
Source: RNAcentral
CAGCCGCCGCGGUAAUACGAAGGGGGCUAGCGUUGCUCGGAAUGACUGGGCGUAAAGGGCGCGUAGGCGGCGAUCAAAGUCAGGCGUGAAAUUCCUGGGCUCAACCUGGGAAUGGCAGUGGAUACUGGCUCGCUAGAGUGUGUCAGAGGAUGGUGGAAUUCCCGGUGUAGCGGUGAAAUGCGUAGAGAUCGGGAGGAACAUCAGUGGCGAAGGCGGCCAUCUGGGACAACACUGACGCUGAGGCACGAAAGCGUGGGGAGCAAACAGGAUUAGAUACCCCGGUAGUCCCUGUCUCUUAUAC